UACGGGGGGAGCAAGCGUUGUUCGGAUUUACUGGGCGUGAAGGGCGCGUAGGCGGCCACCGCAAGUCGACUGUGAAAUCUCCGGGCUUAACCCGGAACGGUCAGCCGAUACUGCGGGGCUAGAGUGCAGAAGGGGCAACUGGAAUUCUCGGUGUAGCGGUGAAAUGCGUAGAUAUCGAGAGGAACACCUGCGGCGAAGGCGGGUUGCUGGGCUGACACUGACGCUGAGGCGCGAAAGCUAGGGGAGCGAACGGG
This 254-nucleotide ribosomal RNA is filed under the name uncultured bacterium. Its description in RNAcentral is "partial 16S ribosomal RNA". It matches the Rfam family "Bacterial small subunit ribosomal RNA", at positions 524 to 776 of the family's 1533-position model. The record is from RNAcentral.